Molecule: transfer-messenger RNA, 153 nt
Filed under: Micrococcus luteus
Lineage: Bacteria; Bacillati; Actinomycetota; Actinomycetes; Micrococcales; Micrococcaceae
Description: partial transfer-messenger RNA
Rfam family: transfer-messenger RNA
About the family: Bacterial tmRNA, also known as 10Sa RNA or SsrA, is named for its dual tRNA and mRNA-like properties. Its role is to liberate the mRNA from a stalled ribosome.
Source: RNAcentral
GGGGCCGAUCGGUUUCGACGGUGUGUGUCGCGUCGGGAGAAGCGGGCCGAGGAUGCAGAGUCAUCUCGUCAAACGCUCUCUGCAAACCAAUAAGUGCCGAAUCCAAGCGCACUGACUUCGCUCUCGCUGCCUGAUCAGUGAUCGAGUCCGUCA